CCAGCCCGCUCAGAAACUUAAAGGAAGUUGACGGGGCCCGGCACAAGCGGUGGAGUAUGUGGUUUAAUUCGAUGCAACGCGAAGAACUUACCUGGUCUUGACAUCCCGGAGACCCUUAGGAAACUAGGGGUGCUUCCAUCUGGAAGAAUCUGGAGACAGGUGCUGCAUGGCUGUCGUCAGCUCGUGUCGUGAGAUGUUGGGUUAAGUCCCGCAACGAGCGCAACCCUUGCCUUUAGUUGCCAGCAGUUCGGCUGGGCACUCUAAAGGGACUGCCGGUGUUAAACCGGAGGAAGGUGGGGAUGACGUCAAGUCCUCAUGGCCUUUAUGACCAGGGCUACACACGUACUACAAUGGCCGAUACAAAGGGCAGCGACACUGCGAGGUGAAGCCAAUCCCGUAAAAUCGGUCUCAGUCCGGAUUGGAGUCUGCAACUCGACUCCAUGAAGUUGGAAUCGCUAGUAAUCGUGAAUCAGAAUGUCACGGUGAAUACGUUCCCGGGCCUU
This 503-nucleotide ribosomal RNA is filed under the name uncultured Desulfobulbus sp. Its description in RNAcentral is "bacterial SSU rRNA". It matches the Rfam family "Bacterial small subunit ribosomal RNA", at positions 903 to 1382 of the family's 1533-position model. The record is from RNAcentral. Lineage: Bacteria; Pseudomonadati; Thermodesulfobacteriota; Desulfobulbia; Desulfobulbales; Desulfobulbaceae.